UCCGGGUGUGGUGGCGCACGCCUGUAAUCCCAGCCGCUCAGGAGGCUGAGGCAGGAGGAUCGCGAGUUCAAAGCCAGCCUCAGCAACAGCAAGGCACUGAGCAACUCAGGGAGACCCUGUUUCUA
This 125-nucleotide small RNA is filed under the name Marmota monax (woodchuck). Lineage: Eukaryota; Metazoa; Chordata; Mammalia; Rodentia; Sciuridae. The record is from RNAcentral.